CCCAGGGAUCGAAUCCAGAUCUCCCACAUUGCAGGUGGAUUCUUUACUGUUCGAGCCACCAGGGAAACUAUACUCUCCUGUUACUAAACCUCUUCAUUAAAAUUAGGCUUAUAAUGAAUAACAAUCAAAAAGCGAGAUGUUUUUUUACAUUGUGGAAAAGAAAAAGGGAAAACAAAGAACACAAGUAAAAAGAGGCAUGGAGAGGAAAAAGAGCUCUUGGACUGCAAAAUUCCAUAAACAUUUGGAAGGACGGGCUUUAUGAUUCUAAUUAAAAAUUGCUGUGUUUGUACAGGAAUUGACUCCUUUCAUUUACGCAAUUCCAUGUUUCUGACAUUCUGCCUAAUACAUUAAACCUGGAAACAAUGAGCUGACGAUAUUAUCAAGAAUCAAUCUGUACCACAGUCUUUCCUAGUGUACCCUAAGAAAGUGAAGUGAAGUCAUCAGUCGUGUCCGACUCUGCGACCCCGUGGACUGUAGCCUACCAGGCUCCUCAGUCCACGGAAUUUUCCAGAGUGUUGUCUGUGAACAGCUUACAUCAGAUCAGGAUCCUGGUGCGGGCAGGUGCACACUUAGGGAUCAGAAUCUGACUUUUCACCUAACUCAGUGGUAGAACCCACCUCCUUGGCACAUCCACUGAACAGGAGGUAAGCAGUGAUGGGAGCACAGUACCAACCACAGGUGCAAAAGGCUUUGACCUUGAGGACCAAGCCCCCUGUGACUGCUUCCAAGAAACUUGCCCAGACAACUCCUGCAAGUGUGGCUGACAGCCUUCUCUGCCAUUCACAGAACCCACUAACACCAUGAUGCUUGCCUGUCCUUACUGUUGGGCCUUGUGACAACCACUUGGAGCUGUUACUGAACCAAACUUGGGUCUGCUCGCCUGCAUGCAAUAAAGC
Molecule: long non-coding RNA, 896 nt
Organism: Bos taurus (domestic cattle)
Lineage: Eukaryota; Metazoa; Chordata; Mammalia; Artiodactyla; Bovidae
Source: Ensembl